This 396-nucleotide ribosomal RNA is filed under the name uncultured bacterium. RNAcentral describes it as "bacterial SSU rRNA". It matches the Rfam family "Bacterial small subunit ribosomal RNA", at positions 29 to 449 of the family's 1533-position model. The record is from RNAcentral.
AACGAACGCUGGCGGCAGGCCUAACACAUGCAAGUCGAACGCUCGUAGCAAUACGGGAGUGGCAGACGGGUGAGUAACACGUGGGAACCUACCCUUUGGUUCGGAAUAGCCCAGGGAAACUUGGGGGUAAUACCGGAUAAGCCCUUCGGGGGAAGGAUUUAUCGCCGAAGGAUGGGCCCGUGUCGGAUUAGCUAGUUGGUGGGGUAACGGCCUACCAAGGCGACGAUCCGUAGCUGGUCUGAGAGGAUGAUCAGCCACACUGGGACUGAGACACGGCCCAGACUCCUACGGGAGGCAGCAGUGGGGAAUAUUGGACAAUGGGCGCAAGCCUGAUCCAGCCAUGCCGCGUGAGUGACGAAGGUCUUAGGGUUGUAAAGCUCUUUUACCAGGGACGAU